This 991-nucleotide ribosomal RNA is filed under the name uncultured Corynebacterium sp. RNAcentral's name for it is "bacterial SSU rRNA". It matches the Rfam family "Bacterial small subunit ribosomal RNA", at positions 505 to 1498 of the family's 1533-position model. Lineage: Bacteria; Bacillati; Actinomycetota; Actinomycetes; Mycobacteriales; Corynebacteriaceae. The record is from RNAcentral.
GUGCCAGCAGCCGCGGUAAUACGUAGGGUGCAAGCGUUGUCCGGAAUUAUUGGGCGUAAAGAGCUCGUAGGCGGUUUGUCGCGUCUGCUGUGAAAACCCGAGGCUCAACCUCGGGCCUGCAGUGGGUAUGGGCAGACUAGAGUGCAGUAGGGGAGAUUGGAAUUCCUGGUGUAGCGGUGGAAUGCGCAGAUAUCAGGAGGAACACCAAUGGCGAAGGCAGAUCUCUGGGCUGUAACUGACGCUGAGGAGCGAAAGCAUGGGGAGCGAACAGGAUUAGAUACCCUGGUAGUCCAUGCCGUAAACGGUGGGCGCUAGGUGUAGGGGGCUUCCACGUCUUCUGUGCCGUAGCUAACGCAUUAAGCGCCCCGCCUGGGGAGUACGGCCGCAAGGCUAAAACUCAAAGGAAUUGACGGGGGCCCGCACAAGCGGCGGAGCAUGUGGAUUAAUUCGAUGCAACGCGAAGAACCUUACCUGGGCUUGACAUAUACAAGACAGGCGUAGAGAUACGUCCUCCCUUGUGGUUUGUAUACAGGUGGUGCAUGGUUGUCGUCAGCUCGUGUCGUGAGAUGUUGGGUUAAGUCCCGCAACGAGCGCAACCCUUGUCUUAUGUUGCCAGCAUUUGGUUGGGGACUCAUGAGAGACUGCCGGGGUUAACUCGGAGGAAGGUGGGGAUGACGUCAAAUCAUCAUGCCCCUUAUGUCCAGGGCUUCACACAUGCUACAAUGGUCGGUACAACGCGCAGCGACACUGUGAGGUGGAGCGAAUCGCUGAAAGCCGGUCUUAGUUCGGAUUGGGGUCUGCAACUCGACCCCAUGAAGUCGGAGUCGCUAGUAAUCGUAGAUCAGCAAUGCUGCGGUGAAUACGUUCCCGGGCCUUGUACACACCGCCCGUCACGUCAUGAAAGUUGGUAACACCCGAAGCCGGUGGCCCAAACUUGUUAGGGAGCUGUCGAAGGUGGGAUUGGCGAUUGGGACGAAGUCGUAACAAGGUA